CGUCUGGGCUGUGUGGUCCCAAAGCCCACUUUGGACUUCCCCUUUCACCUGUAAAUUGGAGAUAAACCUGCUCACCUGGCUGGGCCGAUGGGAGGACUCCAUGCAAUGUCUGUGUUGAGGCCUGGUCCACAGAGGCCUCCGUAAACCGACACUCCUGGAUCCCAUGACAGUGAGGCGGAGGGCAGAUGGUGAGAAUGGGCUCCUGGUGCUCGUGCCAUAGAAGGGAGCUUCCUGCAUCAUCUGAGGCUGUUUUCGGGGAACCCAGUCCUCUCUUCUGUGCUGCAAGAGGCCAGCUGCACGCUGGGGCAGGUGGGUGGGGCGGGGGGGGGGGCUGGCUCGUCACUGAGGCACCACAAGGGAGGAAGACAGGCUUCCCUGACCUUGACUCAGACCUGCCAAGCAAGCCAGCCUCCUAAGAGGGAUCGCAUGGAUCGGUCGCUCGAUUGUGUCCACGUGGCCAGGCGCGCAGGACGAACAGCACGGGAGAUGCCGAAAGGAAGGAUGUGUGCUGGGACCCAGGCUGCCUUCAUGAAGAACCAGCUGGGAGAUGCCGAAAGGAAGGAUGUGUGCUGGGACCCAGGCUGCCUUCACGAAGAAUCAGCUGCAGGUGCUCCAUGCCUUUUGCCUCUUGAUCCACACAUGGUGUGGCCACAUUCCACUGAGAUCCUACAGGGUCCUGGAGAUUCCCGGGGCUGAAGCAGACCCCUCUCAGCGUGGGUGCCCCAGAAGGACCUGAUGGAGACCUGCUGUCUGAUGGAGCGUGGGGGAAACGGCUUCAAUCCCUGGCCUGGGAACCAAGACGCCACCUGCCGCAGGGGAGCUAAGCCUGUGGGCCGUAACUACCCACGCUCUAGGGCUAGAGCUCCGCGACAAGGGAAGCCAAGGCAGGGAGAAGCCCGAGGACCACAGCGGAGAGAAGCCUCCACUCCCCGCAACCGGAGAAAGGCUCUGCACAGCAACGGAGAGCCGUGUGCCGCCCCCAAGACCCAGCGCAGCCAAAAAUAAAUAAAUACACACUUUAAACA
Long non-coding RNA from Bos taurus (domestic cattle), 1025 nucleotides. Lineage: Eukaryota; Metazoa; Chordata; Mammalia; Artiodactyla; Bovidae. The record is from Ensembl.